AAAAAAAAAAAAAAAAAAAAAAAAAAAAAAAAAAAAACUACGAAACAAGGAGGGAAUCCCACUCCUUUACAAGAUGUUUGAGUCUGAGAACCGCUAGCUCAAAGUUGAGGGCUGUGUUCUUAAAGACUGUGUUGUUUCUGACCUUCAUUGCGUUAAAUUGUUAAUUUGUUAAUUGCGCAGUUUUUGCCUCGCCAUAAUAAUUGCAGCGUCCUUUCCAGCAUCCUUACACACGUCUGCUCAGUUUCCAUAUUAUAAUAUCUGUUUCUUUCAUUUUUUUAGAAAUAAACUUAG
RNAcentral lists this long non-coding RNA (291 nucleotides) under Ananas comosus (pineapple). Its description in RNAcentral is "long non-coding RNA (ACOM_LNC028674)". Lineage: Eukaryota; Viridiplantae; Streptophyta; Magnoliopsida; Poales; Bromeliaceae. The record is from RNAcentral.